AGCGAACGCUAGCGGCGGGCCUAACACAUGCAAGUCGAGCGGGGAGCAAUCCCAGCGGCGAACGGGUGAGUAACACGUGGGUAAUGUGCCUUCUGGUGGGGAAUAACCUUGGGAAACCAGGGCUAAUACCGCAUAUCGUGCUUCGGCAUGAAAGCCUUCGGGCGCCAGUAGAGCAGCCUGCGUCCCAUUAUUUAGUCCUAGUUGGUAGGGUAAUGGCCUACCAAGGGUACGAUGGGUAGCUGGUCUGAGAGGAUGAUCAGCCACACUGGAACUGAGACACGGUCCAGACUCCUACGGGAGGCAGCAGUGGGGAAUAUUGCGCAAUGGGGGAAACCCUGACGCAGCCACGCCGCGUGAGUGAUGAAGGCCUCGGUUGUAAGCUCUGUCGGGAGGGACGGAAGGGAGGCGAAUACUCUGACGGUACCGUCG
RNAcentral lists this ribosomal RNA (429 nucleotides) under uncultured bacterium. RNAcentral's name for it is "bacterial SSU rRNA". It matches the Rfam family "Bacterial small subunit ribosomal RNA", at positions 29 to 483 of the family's 1533-position model. The record is from RNAcentral.